UACAGGGGGUGCAAACGUUGCUCGGAAUUACUGGGCGUAAAGCGCACGUAGGCGGAUUGUUAAGUCAGGGGUGAAAUCCUGGAGCUCAACUCCAGAACUGCCUUUGAUACUGAGAAGCUUGAGUCCGGGAGAGGUGAGUGGAACUGCGAGUGUAGAGGUGAAAUUCGUAGAUAUUCGCAAGAACACCAGUGGCGAAGGCGGCUCACUGGCCCGGUACUGACGCUGAGGUGCGAAAGCGUGGGGAGCAAACAGG
RNAcentral lists this ribosomal RNA (253 nucleotides) under uncultured bacterium. RNAcentral describes it as "partial 16S ribosomal RNA". It matches the Rfam family "Bacterial small subunit ribosomal RNA", at positions 524 to 776 of the family's 1533-position model. The record is from RNAcentral.